AGUGAACGCUGGCGGUAGGCCUAACACAUGCAAGUCGAACGGCAGCACAGGAGAGCUUGCUCUCUGGGUGGCGAGUGGCGGACGGGUGAGGAAUACAUCGGAAUCUACUUUUUCGUGGGGGAUAACGUAGGGAAACUUACGCUAAUACCGCAUACGACCUACGGGUGAAAGCAGGGGAUCUUCGGACCUUGCGCGAUUGAAUGAGCCGAUGUCGGAUUAGCUAGUUGGCGGGGUAAAGGCCCACCAAGGCGACGAUCCGUAGCUGGUCUGAGAGGAGGAUCAGCCACACUGGAACGGGGACACGGGCCAGACUCCUACGGGAGGCAGCAGUGGGGAAUAUUGGACAAUGGGCGCAAGCCUGAUCCAGCCAUACCGCGUGGGUGAAGAAGGCCUUCGGGUUGUAAAGCCCUUUUGUUAGGAAAGAAAUCCAGCUGGUUAAUACCCGGUUGGGAUGACGGUACCCAAAGAAUAAGCACCGGCUAACUUCGUGCCAGCAGCCGCCGCAG
This 506-nucleotide ribosomal RNA is filed under the name uncultured bacterium. Its description in RNAcentral is "partial 16S ribosomal RNA". It matches the Rfam family "Bacterial small subunit ribosomal RNA", at positions 29 to 523 of the family's 1533-position model. The record is from RNAcentral.